RNAcentral lists this signal recognition particle RNA (173 nucleotides) under Lachnospiraceae bacterium. RNAcentral describes it as "signal recognition particle sRNA large type". The stretch from base 42 to 140 matches the Rfam family "Bacterial small signal recognition particle RNA". From Rfam's summary of the family: The signal recognition particle (SRP) is a universally conserved ribonucleoprotein involved in the co-translational targeting of proteins to membranes. Archaeal SRP consists of a 7S RNA and homologues of the eukaryotic SRP19 and SRP54 proteins. The record is from RNAcentral. Lineage: Bacteria; Bacillati; Bacillota; Clostridia; Lachnospirales; Lachnospiraceae.
AAUCUAUAAUAUAGUUUCGUUGCGUGCAGACAGCAGCUCAUCAUCCGGUCCUGCGCAGUGCGACACUGUGAACCGUGUCAGGUGGGGAACCAAGCAGCACUAAGCAGACCGUCCAUGUGCCGCAGACCAGCCGGGUGGUGAGUUGCUUCCUGCAGGCAACUUAUUUUUUUAUA